GACGAACGCUGGCGGCGUGCUUAACACUUGCAAGUCGAACGGAAAGGCCCUGCUUUUGUGGGGUGCUCGAGUGGCGAACGGGUGAGUAACACGUGAGUAACCUGCCCUUGACUUUGUGAUAACUUCAGGAAACUGGGGCUAAUACCGGAUAGGAGCUCCUGCUGCAUGGUGGGGGUUGGAAAGUUUCGGCGGUUGGGGAUGGACUCGCGGCUUAUCAGCUUGUUGGUGGGGUAGUGGCUUACCAAGGCUUUGACGGGUAGCCGGCCUGAGAGGGUGACCGGCCACAUGGGGACUGAGAGACGGACCAGACGGCUACGGGAGGCAGCAGUGGGGAAUAUUGCACAAUGGGCGGAAGCCUGAGGCAGCAACGCCGCGUGCGGGAUGACGGCCUUCGGGUUGUAAACCGCUUUCGCCUGUGACGAAGCGUGAGUGACGGUAAUGGGUAAAGAAGCACCGGCUAACUACGUG
This 468-nucleotide ribosomal RNA is filed under the name uncultured bacterium. Its description in RNAcentral is "partial 16S ribosomal RNA". It matches the Rfam family "Bacterial small subunit ribosomal RNA", at positions 28 to 507 of the family's 1533-position model. The record is from RNAcentral.